This is a non-coding RNA of Ictidomys tridecemlineatus (thirteen-lined ground squirrel), 1783 nucleotides long. NCBI's taxonomy places the organism in Eukaryota, Metazoa, Chordata, Mammalia, Rodentia, Sciuridae. The record is from RefSeq and is a predicted model, not a curated record.
CAAAACAGAAUAUAAACAUGCUGAAAGAGGACCAGUCAUGUGGCAAGUGGUUUUCAUUGCCUUUUUAAAGGAAGAGUUAUGAAAAAGGAAAAAAGUAAGAUCAAUCUCAGAAUACAAAAAGAAACAAAACAAAUACACAAUGUCUACAAUAAUAAUGAUGACCUGGAUGCCACACUCCGCACAAGAAACAAAGGAAAGCAAAACUGUGAAGAAGUCAGCAGUACCUUACAUGCUCUAUACUCCGUGGCCUCAAAUCGAUAACCCUGCUCUCUCUUGUUGGUGUGUCCAUGGAAAAGGUGCAUGACAGCAGAAACAGACAGAGACCUUAAAAAGCAAUUAAGGGUGGCGCCAAACUCCUUGAAGAAGAAUCAGAGAAAGCAAGUUAAAAGGCUGGUUUAUGUGUCUACAUUGAAGCGCUGAAGAAUUUGCUUGUGAGUUGGCAAUUUCUCUUUCAAGGCAGCUCUUCUUCACUGGUAUUGGCAAGCUCUAGAUUUCAGAACUGAUUCACCUGCACCGCGUUAUUUAUGAGCUGCUUUUUCCCUUUAAGUGCCCAGCCUUACAUUAACAGUAUGACUAGCUUCACUGCAGAGCUCAACUAUGUCCAUCACAUAAAUGGAAGGUUCAUUAGAGCAUCUAUUAAAAGGAUUUUCAAAGGUAAAAGAGCAUUUUAAAACCAUUAGGGUCCCUUAAGUUAGGUUCUACAGAAGAAAUGUUACAGAACUGCUAUUUAAUGCCAUCAACCAGACACAAUUGCCACAGGUAAUCAACAGUAAUUUGGAUUACCUUGCCAAAGGUCCCUGCCAAAAAAAGAAGCCAUUGCGGAUAGUGAGGAGACAGAGGCUUGGUCAAACUGGAAUAAAAAGUGGAUGAAGAGAAGGGUGAGUCUCUGAGGGCAGACAACGGUAAGCACAAGUUAGAUAGUUUGUCCCAGGUUUUCACUAGCAUCAUCUAGAUCCGAUUUUUAUAACAAACAAACAUUUGCUGCCAACCUCCUAAAUUUUUUAAACAACAGCAGCCAAGACUGACUUCUAUUCGGCACAAUUACAUAAGACCAAGCAGUGCAUUGCUCUCGUUUUUGAAGCUUUGUUUUAAGCUCCCUCAUUAAUCUUUCAGUCUUUUCCCAUCUCUGCCUGACUAUAACUGCCCUGAAUUUAUCCAAGCCUGCAGCAUGCCAGGCUCACUGGUGUCUAAAUCACUGAGAGCUGAAUACACAUUCUACUCAUGGGACUCUACAUUUCCAUCAGAAAGAACCAAUCACAGCUUAGGAGAGGUAAACCUCUUUUUAAUUGUAUUCUAUGAUACUAACAGGCAUUCAUUACACAUGGACCUUAAAACAAGAUUUGCUCUUGGCUGCUCAUAAUUGUAUUUCUACAGCAGUUUAAACCGUUGGCACCUGCAAUUGCUAGCAGGCCUGAGCUAAGAAUUUCUAUUAUCCCAGUUUCAAGGGUUACAUUUAAAAUAAAACUCAGAGGGGCAAAACAUUACAUACACACAUAUUUACACAAAUUAAAUACUAUGCACAAGUCAAUACCUUCUGCACACAAAACUACAUUAAACUCAAUUAGCCCUAAGCAAAACUACAGGAAGCAGGAUUUCUGUGAACCAACAGAGCUGUUCUGUAUAAUAAAGAAUAUAAAAGCAGCUAGAUUAUAGAAUUCUGCAGAAGUCAAUAAAUGUUUUUUAAAAAAUCAUUAUCAAUCCUGAUCUCUAAAUUAAUUAACUUAAGCAAAAUUAACAUAAAACAGUCCAUCUCAAGAAAUUUAUACACAGAUAACCUCUGACU